RNAcentral lists this non-coding RNA (145 nucleotides) under Anaerobacillus alkalilacustris. Its description in RNAcentral is "Glycine sequence". It matches the Rfam family "Glycine riboswitch aptamer". From Rfam's summary of the family: This family represents the bacterial glycine riboswitch. The record is from RNAcentral. Lineage: Bacteria; Bacillati; Bacillota; Bacilli; Caryophanales; Bacillaceae.
AUGAGAUCAAGGGGAGAGACUGCAAAGGUUUUAGUAGUUUUAAGCUAUAAACUAUUAAAAACUGAGGCUUUUUAGCCUAUCUGCAGCGCCGAAGGAGCAAGCGUAUAAUCGUGAAUCUCUCAGGCAAAAAGACUCUUGUUUGACG